CUUCGGGUUGUAAACCUCUGUCCUUGGUGACGAAACAAAUGACGGUAGCCAAGGAGGAAGCCCCGGCUAACUACGUGCCAGCAGCCGCGGUAAUACGUAGGGGGCGAGCGUUGUCCGGAAUUACUGGGCGUAAAGAGUUCGUAGGCGGUCUGAUAAGUCAGAUGUGAAAGGCGUAGGCUUAACCUAUGUAAGCAUAUGAAACUGUCAGACUUGAGGUAAGGAGAGGAAAGUGGAAUUCCUAGUGUAGCGGUGAAAUGCGUAGAUAUUAGGAGGAAUACCAGUGGCGAAGGCGACUUUCUGGACUUAAACUGACGCUGAGGAACGAAAGCGUGGGGAGCAAACAGGAUUAGAUACCCUGGUAGUCCACGCCGUAAACGAUGAGUGCUAGGUGUCGGGUAGAAAUAUUCGGUGCCGCAGCUAACGCAAUAAGCACUCCGCCUGGGGAGUACGUACGCAAGUAUGAAACUCAAAGGAAUUGACGGGGACCCGCACAAGCAGCGGAGCAUGUGGUUUAAUUCGAAGCAACGCGAAGAACCUUACCAGGGCUUGACAUGCCCCUGACCGCGCUAGAGAUAGCGAAUUAUCCUUUCGGGGAUACAGGGGACACAGGUGGUGCAUGGUUGUCGUCAGCUCGUGUCGUGAGAUGUUGGGUUAAGUCCCGCAACGAGCGCAACCCUUGUAUUUAGUUGCCAGCAUUAAGUUGGGCACUCUAGAUAGACUGCCGUGGACAACACGGAGGAAGGUGGGGAUGACGUCAAAUCAUCAUGCCCUUUAUGUCCUGGGCUACACACGUGCUACAAUGGUCGGUACAACGAGCAGCAAGCUAGCGAUAGCAAGCGAAUCUCUAAAAGCCGAUCCCAGUUCGGAUUGUAGGCUGCAACUCGCCUACAUGAAGUCGGAGUUGCUAGUAAUCGCGAAUCAGCAUGUCGCGGUGAAUGCGUUCCCGGGUCUUGUACACACCGCCCGUCACACCAUGGGAGUUGUCAAUACCCGAAGCCAGUGAGCUAACCAGAAAUGGAGGCAGCUGUCGAAGGUAGGGGCAAUGACUGGGGUGAAGUCGUAACAAGGUAGCCG
This 1074-nucleotide ribosomal RNA is filed under the name uncultured bacterium. RNAcentral's name for it is "bacterial SSU rRNA". It matches the Rfam family "Bacterial small subunit ribosomal RNA", at positions 416 to 1502 of the family's 1533-position model. The record is from RNAcentral.